This 492-nucleotide ribosomal RNA is filed under the name uncultured bacterium. RNAcentral describes it as "partial 16S ribosomal RNA". It matches the Rfam family "Bacterial small subunit ribosomal RNA", at positions 29 to 507 of the family's 1533-position model. The record is from RNAcentral.
AGUGAACGCUGGCGGUAGGCCUAACACAUGCAAGUCGAACGGCAGCACAGUAAGAGCUUGCUCUUACGGGUGGCGAGUGGCGGACGGGUGAGGAAUACAUCGGAAUCUACUUUUUCGUGGGGGAUAACGUAGGGAAACUUACGCUAAUACCGCGUACGACCUACGGGUGAAAGCAGGGGAUCUUCGGACCUUGCGCGAUUGAAUGAGCCGAUGUCGGAUUAGCUAGUUGGCGGGGUAAAGGCCCACCAAGGCGACGAUCCGUAGCUGGUCUGAGAGGAUGAUCAGCCACACUGGAACUGAGACACGGUCCAGACUCCUACGGGAGGCAGCAGUGGGGAAUAUUGGACAAUGGGCGCAAGCCUGAUCCAGCCAUACCGCGUGGGUGAAGAAGGCCUUCGGGUUGUAAAGCCCUUUUGUUGGGAAGGAAAAGCAGCAGGUUAAUACCCCGCUGUUCUGACGGUACCCAAAGAAUAAGCACCGGCUAACUUCGUG